This 374-nucleotide unclassified non-coding RNA is filed under the name fungal sp. RNAcentral's name for it is "partial internal transcribed spacer region". The stretch from base 1 to 46 matches the Rfam family "Eukaryotic small subunit ribosomal RNA", at positions 1786 to 1831 of the family's 1831-position model. The record is from RNAcentral. Lineage: Eukaryota; Fungi.
AAGUCGUAACAAGGUUUCCGUAGGUGAACCUGCGGAAGGAUCAUUAACACGUAUCCAAACGUUAAAACAACCCUGUGAAUAUUAACGCGUGUUCUUGCUUGACACCAAAACAGCAAUCUCUCGUAAAACAGGCGCUAAAGAAUUACAGAUAUUGAUUUGAGAGAAUUCUGUCAGUCGGUGGACGUUGCAAUUGAGCACUAGAUAAAGCACCCUGGUACCUUCUGAUCUAUCACCAAUGUCUGAAAGUGUCAAGUGAUGGUCAGGGUAACGCAGUCAACGAUCGCUGUAGGUCCUCACGACCGGCGACCGGGGUGGAGGCUAAGCUGACUCCGUCAUAAAUCGAACAACUGUUAACAAUGGAUAUCUUGGUUCUC